GUGCUCACUUUGGGAGCACAUAUACUAAAAUCUAAAUAAUACAGAGAUUAGCACGGCCCCAGCUCAAGGGUGACACACAAACUCAUGAAGUGUUCCCAGGUCAG
Microtus ochrogaster (prairie vole) is the source of this 104-nucleotide small nuclear RNA. NCBI's taxonomy places the organism in Eukaryota, Metazoa, Chordata, Mammalia, Rodentia, Cricetidae. The record is from Ensembl.